AUGCAUGCAUGCCAAUGUUAUAAUAUAUAUUACCAACGUCCAUAAUAGCAUUUUACAUGUAUGAAUAAUUAGAAUUAUACAAGGAUAUAAAAUUAUCCUGUCUCUAUAUAUUAUAACAUUGGCAUGCAUGCAUGCAUUCAAACCAACUUUGUUACCCUAAAACCACAUUAAUAUGCAUUUUUAUUUAUAAAUACCUCCCAAUAAAAUUUUCCCUAUAUUAAUGAAGUAAAGGAUAUAUGACAUAAAGUAGGCUAUACGGUCAAGUCAAUCAUGGCUAUUUUGUACCUAGUUCGUUGGAGCUGCAGAUGCCAAUUAGCUUCUUGCCAUGGAAAGUAAUGGUAAAAGCACGAGCACAUGAACAAGAAACAAGAAGUUUCAUGGUGAGAUGUGUAUAAUACUGCAAGGACAAUUAAAUUCUACGACACUAAAAACACAAGCAACAAAGAAAAAGAAAAAGGCCUAAACUUAAAAAUUGUUCUAUUUAUGCAUGUAAUUAUAUUUUUGAACCUUGGGGAAGGGGUUGCUGUUUACCAGGACGACCCAUCAACUGCAACUCUUGCUUAUCGUAUAUCUCCAAAGAAAAGUCCUUCAGCAGUUGAGCUUUUCCUCCACUGCUAACGCUCCCACCGCUAGAACUAGCACUUGGAGCCAUCGUCGACUUCUUCGCCUCCUUCGCCCCAACCGAUGUGCUACUCACCACUGCUGACGCUGCCCUAACCUCCACGCCACUCGGUAUAUUCACCACGCUCCCUAUAGAUGACUGAUUAUUAAUAGUAUUCGUUGCCCCCACAAACGUUGAUAUGGGCCUCGCUGCUGCCACGUUGAAUACCGACGUUAUUGACGGUGAUAAUGCCCAUAUUUGUGGCUGCUGCGUCUGGGUCGGCUGCCCAACCAGGCCAGCUGCCGCCACAAAUGCAGGAGUACCCGACAGCGUGGCGGCUUGCGGGAUCAUCCAAAAAGCAUUUGCGGGUACCAUCAUCCCUGCGCUACCCACAGCCCACAUGGGCACCAAUCCUUGAGGGGUCGCAGUCGCAGCAAAUGGAGUCGUCGGCGUCACCGGAGCAAGCCCAGAGCUCUGUGAAACGGAAACAGUUGCUUCGCUUAUAUCGCAGAACUCAGAAUUUGAGGGCCGUUUCCGUUUCUUUGUUGUUUCGGUUAAUGAAUUGUUGGUAUCGUUGGUGGUUGCGGGGAUUUUGAGGGUUCCACCAACGGAAACGGCGAUGGAGGGGACGGUCCCAGUGCCUGUAGCUUGAAUAAUGGCUUGUUCGGCGUGCUCCAGAAGCCAUCUAACGGUUUCGCCGUCUGAUUUGUGGCCUAGUUCUCUGGUAAGUUGGAAUAUCCGGGCGGCGCAUGUGGCGGGUAUUCGGAUCCUACGACCACGGCCCUCGACUUUGGUGUGGCGGUCCUUGGUGGAUGACCUUCUACUCGCUGUAACCGGCAUGGGCAGAGGGAUUGACAUUGGUAUCUGCAUCUGCAUAGACAUGGGGACGACCCCAAUAGCCGUCGGCGGCGACGGAGGAGGCUGCUUUGGGGCACGUGAUUGGGUUCUGUGAUCCGAGUCAGAGGGUGGGUCGGGGUCGGAAUCAAUGGGCUCUUCUUUGAAGGAUAUGAGCUGAAAUGCUUCCGUUUCAUCAAUUGUUGAUAUCUUCGAGAGGCCAUUGUUAUUGUCGCUGAUAUUGUUAUUGCUUUUCUUCAUGUUAACCUCUCCAACGCUUGUGCUAACAUCAGAGGUGGCUCCUUCAUCAUUUGGGUCCAUUUCAUGCUGUUGAAACGACUCCACUUUCAAAGUCAACACCAGAUGGCAAUUUGAGGCAACAAAUGGGAGACUAUCGUGUUUGUUUUCAAGGAAGAUUAAUGUAAGGUUUCCUUCAUAUAUGGGUUUGGUGCAGAGAUCAGAGGAAUUAUAAAGGAAUGAAACAUGAAAUCCACAGAAAAAGAGAAUGAGAAAGAAAAGUUUUGAAGAAAAGAGAUUAAACCCCAAAGUUC
Molecule: unclassified non-coding RNA, 1986 nt
Filed under: Hevea brasiliensis (rubber tree)
Lineage: Eukaryota; Viridiplantae; Streptophyta; Magnoliopsida; Malpighiales; Euphorbiaceae
Source: RNAcentral